Long non-coding RNA from Hyalella azteca, 294 nucleotides. RefSeq lists it as uncharacterized. The transcript is spliced from 3 exons. Lineage: Eukaryota; Metazoa; Arthropoda; Malacostraca; Amphipoda; Hyalellidae. The record is from RefSeq and is a predicted model, not a curated record.
GUCCCUGUGCUGUGCUUCACCGCUCCACCGCCCGCGUCUCCACCAUCCCUGGUAUCUGUGAUACCACUGGGCCGUGGCAAGGCAGGGGUGCUGUGGCGUUCAGAAGGGUCCAUGAGAGGCAGGACAUCACAUCAUCGCGUGUCAUGGAUUGCUGCAACAUCUGAACAAGAAUAUCCGGCAGGUCUAUCAGUCAACACUACGGCAGACUAUGCCAUACUCGAGGAUCUGCCAGACUUUGCCAUCAAGGUGUGGGUAACUGCGGUGAUGUCCUCUGGAGAAACCCUGCCCAGCCCC